This 7311-nucleotide long non-coding RNA is filed under the name Sorghum bicolor (sorghum). RNAcentral's name for it is "long non-coding RNA (SBIC_LNC014793)". Lineage: Eukaryota; Viridiplantae; Streptophyta; Magnoliopsida; Poales; Poaceae. The record is from RNAcentral.
GCGUCUCGUUUUCAGGGGUUUUGGGCCAACUCCAAGGAUGAACGGCGGCGGCGGUUUAGUCUCGGCUUGCUAGCGAGAUUUAGAGCACGUCUAGGGCAACCCGAGGCCAAUUGGAUGGGGAAAAGAGAUCGGGGAAAGGGUCGCGGAUCUUAUAGGGUGCAUGGUUUGGCUCCAGAGCAAGUAAAUCCCGGGAAGGUCGGGAUUUGGCAACCGGGAUGGAGUCCGGUUUGCUGCCGGCUCAAGGUAGAAGAAAGGAAGGUGCUACUGACGAGCGGGCCCCGAUUGUCAAUGACUCAAGGUGCGGGGUCCACGCGUCAGGGAAAGAAAGGGGAGGGGAAGAGAAGCGUGCGUUCGCACGGCUGGCUUGGGCCGCGUACGCGCGCUGGGCCGAGUGGACGCUGGGCCGAAACUGCGAGAGGGAGAAGGAGGCGCGGGGCUGGAAAGGAUGGGGUGGGCCUUCGGGCCAGAAAGCAGAGGGAGAAUUUUUUUUCUUUUGUUUGUUUCUUUUUGUUUCCUUUUUUUUAUUUCAAAGCCAUUUCAAAAACAAAUUUGAAAAUAUUUUAACUUUGAUCAAAGUCACACAGUACAAAAAUAUAAAUGAUCUAGCAUGAGUGCGCAUACAUGUUACUAAAUUCUAUGAUAAGUUUUAAUUUAAUGACAAAUAUUAUUUUUCCUAUAUUUUCAUGAGCACAAAAACAAUAAAUUAAAUUGUUUUUCACCUAUUUCAAAAUGAGCAAAAUUUUGGGUGUUACAAAUCUAACCCCCUUAAAAUGAAUCUCGUCCUCGAGAUUCGAAAGAGACACAGAUCCGCUUAGAGAAAACAUAAUAAAGAUCUUGAUAACUCUUUCAACUUUUACAACUUGCAUACCAAAGAUAAACUCAAAUUUUCCACAGAGUGUCUAUUAUUCAUAAACCGAUCACUGUCCAUCUUGACUACCAACUUUUUGGCUUACAACUCAAAGACAUAAUAACUUAGCAUGGAUAUGCCUCCUCAGGUAGGAGUGGUCCACCUUGAUACUCAAUUCUUUUCCCUGAUGGUGCGGUUAAGAAAAUUUUCCACUGGGUAGCAUAGAUCACUGCCUUGUGUGCACAUAACCAUCCAUUGCCAAGAACCAAAGGAAUAUUGAGUGACUCUAGCACAAUGAGGUUUACAGUGAAGUUUUCCUUCUUUAUGACAAGAUUAAUAUUUGAGCAAACCUGAUCUGCCUGUAUUUCUCCCAUUGGGGUUUGAACUAACAAAGGCUUUCUCGUCGGACACUUCACCCGUUCGAUUGUCUUUACCAGGUUGGCGGAUAUGAAAGAGUGCGAAGCACUUCAGUCAAACAUAGCAAAAACUAGCACUGAGUCCACUUGAAUAUAGCCUCCCACCACUUUAGUGGCUCCUUGAAUGUUAUGCCUAUCCACAUUGUUCAGUCUUCCAUUGAUAUAAUUUCGCUGUACUUUAUUUCCGAGAGCAGGCUUCUUACGAGCUUUCCUUUUACGCUUCCGCCGUUGUGGAUUUUGAUUUGAUUCAUUGUCAACUUGCUCUUCCAUAUUAUUAUUUUGAUAACACUCAGCUUUGUCAUACUCAUAGCAUCUUUCUUCAAAAUCAAGAUGAUCAUAUUCUUCCCACCUAUCCAUGAGAGGCGUCAUAUUAUGCUCCGAAUCCAUGGGACACUACACUCCCUGUCAUCAAGUGACCAACGUCAGAAACAUGGCAAGGGUAGAUGAUCAUAAUCAGAGGAUACUCAAGACGACAAUUAUCACUUCAAGAUAGUUUAAAUAUGCAUCAUCCAGUGAUAUCAAGGUACUACCCCCCUUAAAAUGAGAUUGAUUGGGGAACACUAGGGACUACUUCUCCUAUCCUUUUUAGACGCUACACAUCAUAUAGUCUUUUAAAUUCGCUGUACUGAGUCUCUUGAUCCAACAUUAUCCAAUUCUUCUCCAUGUAACCCCUUUAUUUGGGCUACCCCCCCUUAGUAAAAGUCAUCUAGGGGGCACAGGAUUGGUAGCUUGCAUGUUUUCCCGGCAGGUUAACUAACAUUGAGAACCUCUGACAUCCCAAAGAACUUAUGUGUAAGGGGAGAACAAACAGGUAUCCUGAAUUUUUCUCAUGAUAUGAAAACACCAGCGUAGUAAAAUACAUAUAACUCUUAUUCUGUCAAUCCAACAGAGUUAUAGCUUAUACCGUUAGAAAACUUAUGAAAUUCUCUACCACUUUCAUGUAGAAGACCUCCUUAGAUUCUGUCUUUAAGCUUAGGUAAAACAACCAAACAUAAUAUCCUUCCUGAUAUAGUCUCAGCAAAGGUGCUGUAACUUCCAAAACUUAUAUCUCGAGCUACUUAACUCAUCUGGAGACGAUCCUUACAUUUUUUAAAAGCUUAGGAAAUCCUCUACAACUUUUGUAUACGAUGUUUUCCCAGAUUCUGUCUUUAACUUGGCUGAGAAUAGGAAAUGUCAGAUCUGUCCAGAUUUUGAAACAGAACAGAAACAUCCAAUUGAAAAUAUCAUAUCUCAGGUUCUACUUAUCCAAAUAAGUCCCAGCUUAUACUGUUGGAAAUAUUAGAAAAUUUUCUACAACCUUUCUAUAGAACACUUUUCCAAAUUCUAUAGUUAUAUUUGUCUUACACAUUCAGCAACCAAAACUGGUCCAGAUUCUUGACAGCACAUCUGUAUCAUCUUGUGAUUUUUGUAACUUCCAAUCCAUAAUAGCUAUUAGGGUGAUUCUUGCGGUCAGGGAAAGAUCUUGAAGUCUGUUUGUUCCCAGAAAAAUUUGAUAAACUUUGCAUGAUCAGAACUUGGGAUACACCGACAUUAUGGCAGACUGCUCCAAAAUCAGCAAGGGAUGGAAACAUGAGAUAUCCGAACCCAACUACUUAUUUCAUUAAUCCUUAUACCUUCGAUCUAUAAACUAAAUGAAAUUGUGAAGAAACUCACAAAAUCAUUACACUCAUUACAAAGAUCCAAAUCAAACAUAAACAUAAUAACAAGCAAUUAAGCAUUAAAGGUUCACAAGGCACACAAACUCAACUUUCACCACUAGCGUUUUUAUUACACAAGGGGACACAAACUCCUAAAUUUUAGGCUCGGUGUGGCUACUUUCAUGAUGCAUCAGUUGCUUCUUUUGUGGACAAGAGCUUAUAUAAUGUCCUUCUUGUUGACAAUGAAAACACCUUCUCUUAGCUGGAUCCUUUGUGAUGUUAUUUUCCACUGAAGUGUUGUUCGGUGUGUCAUCAACUCGCUGACUCUGAUGGUUUAUCUUUGUAUGAUUAGAUUUCUUCCUAUAUUGCUUGAUCCUUUGAGGUUGAAACUCUUUAUAAGUGAUUGUCCAUCCAUCUAUGCAUACCUCAUGAGCAGUGGGAUUAGCUUGGGGAAUUUGUUCAUCUCCAAGGUUUGGGUUUUCCUGACGAGAAUUUGAAGCUACAUGUGACAUCUUGGGAUUUGGGUGUUGAUCACUUCCCAAUGUCGGUUCUAGUGCUUUUGCCUUCCUCUUCUUAUCCUCAUUAGUCACACAGGUUGGUUUUGUCUUAACUUCCUUUUUAGAUGACAUAUUCCGAAGACAAGGAAGACCAUAAUGCUCACAACAGUGACAUUGAUCCUGAUAUCCUGAUGUAUUACUCCCAACGCUUCCAUGAUUUCUCAUAUUUUUUCAAGCUUCUGCUACUUGUCUCCUCACGGGUCCUGAGAUACAUUGUUGAGAGUUCUUAUUCUGAGUUAUUCCUUCCACUACUUGUGUUUGCAUGGCUAGAAGCUUCUCCAUGUCGAAUGCUUUUACGGUUGGCAAAUCUGGGUGCUUUUGUUCGUUCUUGUCAAAGAUCUUCUCGUUUUGAUCCAUCUAAAGAGACAAAGAGAGAGGAUUUAGAAUAGAGACAAGAUUUUAUAAAAGAACUGGGCAAGAGGUAAGCAUAACUUUUAGCAACUAUCAAGGUCAAGGCGAAAGCAAGAGGUAAACAAAGAUAGAAGCAUGCUAAAACGUCGAGUUCUAACUAGGCUUGCGUCCUACAGUCAGCAUUGCUUUGAUACCACUUUGUAAUACCCGAUUUUAAGGACAAAACCAGAUAUGCACUAUAUAUGAGUUUUAGAAAUCAAAUCUCACAUAUAGCUACAAAUAAGGGGUAAUAUCAAAAGACAAUGCAUAAAUUAUAUAACAUACUUAGUAUAAAAGAGAUAACCUUUAGUAACAAACAGCGGAUAGAUAACUCCAACUUCGGUUAUUAACUCCACUCUACAAGAUCCAACUGACUAGUUGAUCACAAGCCCAAAACUUCUCCUGAGGUGUGGGGGAAAUUGCAAGAGUGAGCACAUAUCGUACUCAACAAGUAUAACCAGGGGUUCAUGAGGCUCAAAUAGCGGACACUGGUUUGACUGCAUUUAGCUUUUAUAUGUAAAUAGCAUGUUUAAUCAUUGGAUGGCAAAUAUCAAGGUAGCAUAAUUAAUCCCAUAAUUACAUGAUCAAAUGUAUACAAGAAUUAUGAAUAACACAUAUAAACAACAUAAUAAACCAUCCUUUAUUAUCAUUAAUCAUGUUCAUCAGUGUUCAUCUAUUCUGUCAGUUUUCCGGGCCGCCCGUAUGCGUGGGCAUGGCUAGUAUACCAGAUUUAACACUCUGCAGAGGUUGUACAUCUUUACCCAUGAGUCAUGAUUUACCCUUUCGCCCGAGGUAGCUAGUCUCUUAACCCCCUUCCUAGGGAGGUCGGCAGGGAUCACUAUGAAGUCUUUCAAAGGUUCGUCUAACAAGUUAGAACCGCUUGGUUUCAUUAGUCAGUCCAUGUGAUUCACUCGCAGGAAUCCACGGUCUGCUAUUCCCCAAUUACGCCACAACGGGUAACCGCUAACGAGCUAGAAAAGUUACUCAUACUUGACUAAAGCCCAUAUAGCCCUCAUGGUUGUACGAGUUGUCCCAGCUUUUGCCAAGGGAUAAGUCCUUAUGGAGGGUCAAGAUCAAUCCAGCAAAAGCCAGAGUUCUUUCCACCCUUUAUGUUCAAAUUGCUAGAAAGCUUAUUUUAUUGUUUAUUGUAUAUCCAAACAUUCAUGUUAUAAGAUCAUGGAUUAUUAAUCAAGCACUAGCAAGAACUACCCAAAUGCAUAUCCAAAAUAGGUAACAAGGAAUUUAGGAUAACAAUCAUCUAUGAUUUUGCUAAGGUCAUCAAGGUGGACACAUGCAUAUGAUAUAUUGUAUUAAUUGUGUAUAGGUAAAAAGGAUAAUCCCAUGUUAUACUUGCCUUGAUCAAAGCUCUCCUGAGCCUGCUGGUCUUCAAAGGCUUGGUCUUGCUUACCAACGUACGGCUCACCGUCUAAUCCCGAUCAUCAAUCAACAACACGCAAUUCAAUGUAGACAAUCAUACACGAAGCAAACAAGCUAUAAUUAGAACAAUACACCAAACAGUGGUAAAACAAAUAUAAAAGUUUAUCAAAAUAUUCUAUGCAGCGCUACAAUCACAUAAACGUAAAGUUCACGAAAAUCGGAAUUAAAACGUGGAAGUUAUAGAUUUUCCAAGAUUUCCUAUAGAUAAAUAAUUAAUUAAAUAUUACUACAAAAAUAAAAAGUUUCAAAACAGUGGAAUAAUACUUCUAUCAUGUAGAGCUCAUAAUUACGAACCUAACGCAAUUUCAAUGGGUCGAAACGGAUUUGAAACGAGCAUUUUAUGACUUAAAGAAACUCAGUGGCAUUUUUGUAAAUAUUGAAAACGUAUUUUGGGAUGACCCGAAACCGUUUACGUUUUUAAAAGAAGAAAACAUACUUCCGCAAAGUCGCUUUAGGACUGCGGGUUUACUCUAAAAAAAACAGGGGCUCUUUAGCAAAUUAGCCAUCGAAGGGGUAUGCUUUAUUUUAGUCCGUUGGAUCUUGAUUGGAUGGUAGAGAUUAGAUCCAGAGAGAGGAGAGCGCCGGCCGGUCAGAGCUGGGAGGGAACACGGCGGCGCCAUAGCCAGUGCUCGCCGGAGUUGGGUGAUACGGCGUUCCAGUGUGCCAAACUCGAAUUCAAAAGCAUGGGGAGCAAGAGGAGCUUGUUCCGAACUCACCUAGAGGCAAAACGAUGGGCGCGCAAGGCUCGGAGGUGGCCGGCGUCGCGAUUCGGCGGACGGGAAGCUCCUGCAUGAGUCCGGCACCAAGAGGUGAACAAAAGAGAGCGAGAAAACAGGAGAGAGUACUGCGGUUAUGUUCAAGACCUCAAAGAGAAGUCCGGCGUCUCGUUUUCAGGGGUUUUGGGCCAACUCCAAGGAUGAACGGCGGCGGCGGUUUAGUCUCGGCUUGCUAGCGAGAUUUAGAGCACGUCUAGGGCAACCCGAGGCCAAUUGGAUGGGGAAAAGAGAUCGGGGAAAGGGUCGCGGAUCUUAUAGGGUGCAUGGUUUGGCUCCAGAGCAAGUAAAUCCCGGGAAGGUCGGGAUUUGGCAACCGGGAUGGAGUCCGGUUUGCUGCCGGCUCAAGGUAGAAGAAAGGAAGGUGCUACUGACGAGCGGGCCCCGAUUGUCAAUGACUCAAGGUGCGGGGUCCACGCGUCAGGGAAAGAAAGGGGAGGGGAAGAGAAGCGUGCGUUCGCACGGCUGGCUUGGGCCGCGUCCGCGCGCUGGGCCGAGUGGACGCUGGGCCGAAACUGCGAGAGGGAGAAGGGGGCGCGGGGCUGGAAAGGAUGGGGUGGGCCUUCGGGCCAGAAAGCAGAGGGAGAAUUUUUUUUCUUUUGUUUGUUUUCUUUUUGUUUCCUUUUUUUUAUUUCAAAGCCAUUUCAAAAACAAAUUUGAAAAUAUUUUAACUUUGAUCAAAGUCACACAGUACAAAAAUAUAAAUGAUCCAGCAUGAGUGCGCAUACAUGUUACUAAAUUAUAUGAUAAGUUUUAUUUUAAUGACAAAUAUUAUUUUUCCUAUAUUUUCAUGAGCACAAAAACAAUAAAUUAAAUUGUUUUUCACCUAUUUCAAAAUGAGCAAAAUUUUGGGUGUUACACCAUUGCACGCUACCGAAGCAGGCUCUCCGUCUAUGCGUCCUGAACCUGAAGAUAGAGACCCCAGCUAGACCUAUUUAGUUUGAGACCUGAAAGCCCACACACCUAUCGGAACUUUCGACAGUCAGAACUCCCAAAAAUAAAGCAUCUUUCUGGGGCACAUCUCCUUCUUCCGGACUCUGAAUUAGAUGUUCCAUAUAUGUUUUUUUUGACCGUCUCGACCAGAGAAACGCAAUGGUAAAAGCCAUUCCAUGUUAUGGCAACUUCACAAAAGGAAUAAUUUUGUUUGUCAACAAGGAGUUUUCUUUCUUCCUAUCUCUAUUGCGUUCGAAGAAAUUUUUUACCUGACCUGCACCAUCGUCUUAAAAGUAGCUGCACCAAAAAAAUCCAGACGAA